GUGCAGCAGGCGAGAAACCUCCGCAAUGCGCGAAAGCGCGACGGGGUUACCCCGAGUGCCGUCCGCUGAGGACGGCUUUUGCCCAGUGUAGCCAGCUGGGCGAAUAAGGAGAGGGCAAGUCUGGUGUCAGCCGCCGCGGUAAUACCAGCUCUCCGAGUGGUGGGGACGCUUAUUGGGCCUAAAGCAUCCGUAGCCGGUCUGGCAGGUCCCUUGUUAAAUCCAACGAUUCAAUCGUUGGACUGCAAGGGGAUACUGCCAGACUAGGGGGCGGGAGAGGCCGACGGUAUUCCUGGGGUAGGGGUGAAAUCCUAUAAUCCCGGGAGGACCACCAGUGGCGAAGGCUGUCGGCUAGAACGCGCCCGACGGUGAGGGAUGAAAGCUGGGGGAGCGAACGGAUUAGAUACCCGUGUAGU
RNAcentral lists this ribosomal RNA (413 nucleotides) under uncultured microorganism. RNAcentral's name for it is "bacterial SSU rRNA". It matches the Rfam family "Archaeal small subunit ribosomal RNA", at positions 330 to 745 of the family's 1478-position model. The record is from RNAcentral.